UACAGAGGUGGCAAGCGUUGUUCGGAAUUACUGGGCGUAAAGGGCGCGUAGGUGGCCUUCUUAGUCAGACGUGAAAUCCCCGGGCUUAACUCGGGAACUGCGUCUGAUACUGGAUGGCUUGAAUCCGGGAGAGGGAUGCAGAAUUCCAGGUGUAGCGGUGAAAUGCGUAGAUAUCUGGAGGAAUACCGGUGGCGAAGGCGGCAUCCUGGACCGGCAUUGACGCUGAGGAGCGAAAGCCAGGGGAGCAAACGGG
Molecule: ribosomal RNA, 253 nt
Filed under: uncultured bacterium
Lineage: Bacteria
Description: partial 16S ribosomal RNA
Rfam family: Bacterial small subunit ribosomal RNA
Source: RNAcentral